Long non-coding RNA from Raphanus sativus (radish), 883 nucleotides. RefSeq lists it as uncharacterized. NCBI's taxonomy places the organism in Eukaryota, Viridiplantae, Streptophyta, Magnoliopsida, Brassicales, Brassicaceae. The transcript has 4 exons. The record is from RefSeq and is a predicted model, not a curated record.
UAUUUGAGAGAACUGAAAGAAAAAAAACAUUGCCUUUCCGUAAAAAAAACUCCUUCAUCACACGCAUAUUGUCGAGUAAGCCUCCAUGGAGAACGGACAAAGAGAGCGAGGGUGAGUUCAUGGAUCUCGUCUGUUUUAUCACUUAUGUGAAGCUUUCACCAUGGUUUGCUGUAGAAUUGUUGAUCGGUUCGAGCUGCCACACAAUGAAUCGCUUUGAGCUGCUUUCUUAUCAAAAGCUCAUUGAUAAGAACCAGAAAAUCUGAAUCGGAAGAAAAUGAUAGAAUUCUUGGUGUACUUUUCGAGCCAUUCAUAGCUCACUUGACACAGAAAGUUCUUAAGCUUUUUGCUGUAUCUACUCCACUCACAUUACUCGGAACUGACCCUGCUUUUGCGUUUUUUCAAAUUCCAUAGUCAUUGGUUACUUCUCUUGGAGACUUUGGAGACGACAUAACUUAGGUUUUGCUUCGGCCUUUUUGCUUAUCUUUUUCUCUGAACCUGGAGACAAGACUUUCUUCAGUGCGACUCUUUUAGCAGCAAGGAAUAACGCUGCUACUGUUUUCGCUGGGACUUUUGGUACUCUUGGGUAUGCUUUCUCUCUCAAACAGAGGCGCGCGUUACGUCAUGUCUGAAACAAAUAAUUGGUGGUGAUUUUGCAUGAUAAUGACGAUAACAUGGCGGUGGAUGUAUCCACAGUAAUGCCAGGAUAGAAGCCAUCAUUGAACAUACAUUUGCUGGUUCGUUUGUCCUGACGAGGAGAAGGCAUUCACUGGCCUCUCCAUCUCCAAAAUAUUGCGGCUAGUAACUAUUGUUUUCUUUUGACUCCUUUAGUAGAUUAAAAUUUGACAUAUGUACAUGUUGUACAUUAGUGUCCAUGUUCGUAAUA